This 259-nucleotide ribosomal RNA is filed under the name uncultured bacterium. RNAcentral's name for it is "partial 16S ribosomal RNA". It matches the Rfam family "Bacterial small subunit ribosomal RNA", at positions 524 to 776 of the family's 1533-position model. The record is from RNAcentral.
UACGAAGGGGGCGAGCGUUGUUCGGAAUUACUGGGCGUAAAGGGCGCGCAGGCGGCUCUGAAAGUCAGAUGUGAAAGCCCCGGGCUUAACCUGGGAAUUGCAUUUGAUACUCUGGAGCUUGAGUACGGGAGAGGAGGAGUGGAAUUCCCGAGUGUAGAGGUGAAAUUCGAUAGAUAUCAGGAGGAACACCGAGUGGCGAAGGCAGGUCUGCUGGCUGACACGUGACGCUCAUGCACGGAAAGCGUGGGGAGCAAACAGG